Molecule: long non-coding RNA, 301 nt
Filed under: Gallus gallus (chicken)
Lineage: Eukaryota; Metazoa; Chordata; Aves; Galliformes; Phasianidae
Source: RNAcentral
GGAGGGGGGUUGUUUUCAGCAAACAAAGCCCUUUGGAGGGGCACCACGGCCAAUGGGGGUGGAGAGGAGCCAGCCCACAUCCCCUCCUUUCGUGGGUGUUUAUAUGGGGUCUGAAAGCUGAUAUUGAAGCAUCACCAAUGUCCCAAGGAUCAGAAACCUGGCAGCCAUCAGUUCUGUGCGUUCCCCAGCAAGGCCAUCCUGAUCCUGCUCCGGGCUCAUGUGAUUUGCCCCACCGCAGCCCUUCACUGCUUCCCUUUUCUCUGCUGAGCUCCUCUGUUUUGCUGGGAGGACACAGACCCUG